Lathyrus oleraceus (garden pea) is the source of this 1927-nucleotide long non-coding RNA. RefSeq lists it as uncharacterized. The record is from RefSeq and is a predicted model, not a curated record. The transcript has 3 exons. Lineage: Eukaryota; Viridiplantae; Streptophyta; Magnoliopsida; Fabales; Fabaceae.
CCCGGCUCAAGUGAAAGGAACACUAACGCCAUGCUCCCCAAAAAUGCAAAGGACUCAUCUCCAACAUCCCUUCCCAAUUCGUAAUCUUAGGUCGAAAUCAGAAUUCACGUUCGAGACAUAAAGACUCAAGCUUCAAAAUUUCUAACUCGUGCAGAUAAAUCAUGUACAUCCACGAGCAAUGGCGGGUCCAACUCUUCAAUCACGAAGAAUCAAGGAAAUGCAAUGGAAUACACGCCGCACCUUGUCAUCCACGUCGAAUUCGAUCGAGGUUGUGCGCGAAGAGAAAUCGAAGGAAAGAAACCCUCACCAAUUUCACGCUCCGGGUUGUCGCCCGCGUUGCUGGCACGUUGUUGUUGUCUUACUGCGUCGCGUUUGUAAUGAAAAGGUGAAGAAUGAUUAUUGUCGACUCUGAUGACGAGCGCUACAUCGUUAUGUGUUGUGAUGAUGAUCUAACAUGGAAUUGCACAUCACGUCGGAGACAAAAUCUUCUUCGACAUCGGAAGCUGUGAUUGUGGCGGAUGAUGAAACACGCUUGAAACAGAAGGUUGAAGAAGCUGCAAGAUGGCGAAGAUUGAAGGAGAAAGUGAACCUUCUACUGAAGAGUAAGAAGGUGAUUAUGGAGAUUCGGUUGAAGGUUGAAUAUGAAGGUGACGGGUAUGGAAUCACAAGUGCGAUAUGAAGAGAAACGUGAUGCAGAGUGCCGACCCCUUAGUGCCUAGCUGCAAUGAGGUCCGUCAUGGUGUAACAUGGUUAAGUUCCAUGACGAAUUGAUGACAAUUUCAACCUACCGAAUUAUGGCAUUGCAACAAGAUCAUGGUCCUUUGGCAGGUAGUGUAAUACCCCAAUUUUGACCCUGAUAUCCCUCAUGCAAUUUCAUCAUAAGCAUUAGCAUUGGGAUCAUAUCUUGGCAUCCUCCUUACCCCUCUUUCAUUGGGUUUGUUUUGGGAGAGAUCACCAAGCACUUUGUGAUUAUAUCAUACUUGUAUUUUAUCAUUUCACUAACCAAAAUACCGAAAAAUAUGUCUUUGCAUUUGUCUAACUCUUUUGUAGGAAGGGCAUGAUUCCAUUGAUUCAUCAAGUUCACAUCUAGGGUUUGAGACCCUCAUGAACAAAGAGCACAACCAAGAAUUGAUUCAAGAAUGGUCAUUAACAUAAUAUAUGAGUCCUAAUGUUCUCUACAUUUUAUAUUGAUCAAGUUUUCUUCAAGAGUUUGAGGGUGAUUUUCCUUGGAAAUCCUAGUUUGACUGGGUAUCUUGAGUAACUUCUCCAACAAACUAUCUCACAAAUUGAUCAAAUUUCUCAAGGGACACUUCAAAUUUCAUCAUCUUAAGCAUAUAUAAUCUACCAUGAGCCAGGAAAGUCAAGAGAAUUGGAAGUUAGCAAGUUGGUUGAUGGUGGUUGGCCAGAUGGAUUCAUCUGAUCAAAACUGGGUCUCCCUAAACCCUAUCUCCUACAAUUUUCACCAUAUGAAAAUGAUUCUAAGAGAAAACGUACUCUAAGUUACAUUCCAAACAACUUUCAUGUUGAGACCUAGAGCUUUUUUUCUUGGAAAAUCAUUUUCUAUGUUGAAACAUUAUAGGUCAUUUUGUCUAAACCCUAAUUUGAAAGUCAACUUCCCAAGGACAUAACAUGCUCAAUUUUUAUGAGAUGAAAGAUUUCCAAGUUUAAAAAUCAAAAUAAAUGUGUCUACUUUAACUUUUAUGUUUGGAGUGGGAGCUGAUUCAACUUUUUUGAGCAUGUGAUAUGAGGUUACAUUAUAGGUCACUUUUGACCUAUACCUUUGAUCAAGUGAUUUUUCCAAACUUCAAAAAUGCAUAACUCUAUCAUUUUAAAUCCAAAUGACAUGAAAUUGGUGACCAUUUUAAAGGUCUUUGAUAGAGAUACAACUUUGAUGAAGACACGUUUCUGAUUUGAAGCUCAUAUAAAA